AAGCUCUUCCGUUUGUGACUUUUAUCGAGUUGUCAAGUUUGGAGUUCAAUUUAGCGUCCUUGACAUUGUUUAG
This is a non-coding RNA of Biomphalaria pfeifferi, 73 nucleotides long. NCBI's taxonomy places the organism in Eukaryota, Metazoa, Mollusca, Gastropoda, Planorbidae. The record is from the annotation of a GenBank genome assembly.